AAAAAAAAGAAGCAAAACCUAUCUCUCAUUCAAACUCACGUAAACUAGCAAACCCUCAAACCUUGGUACUCUCUGCCCAGCCGCCAGCCACCAUACACCCGCCGGACCUCCACCGUCCUCGUCACAGCCGCCCCAGCCGCCGACCACCUACCGCCGCCGCGACCGCCAGCUGCACGGUAACCUUCUUCUUCUCCUUCGUUCUUCUUCCUUUCUCUUUCGUUCGUUUCUUGCAGCUUCGCUACCCUUCUCACGAUCUUUUUCGCUCUUGCUCUCCUCGCUCGUUUUGGUUUUUGCGCAGCAGCAACCGAGUCGCGCCACCCUCUCCUUGCUGUCGCCGAGCAGUGCUGCCGCCUCCGGCCGCGCCUCACCGCCUGCCACCGUCGUCCUCUCUCGUCGGCGGAGAAUUCUCCUUAGGCGACUUUUGAAUUAUUAAAGUGGUCUUGCAGUUUGUUUACACAAGUCUCUAAGGAUCAAUAAGCGUUGCCCAUCUACAGGUUUGAAGAUGAUGCAUCAUUGGGAUCGGGAUUAGAGAGCUUGUAGUUAUAUUUGUUUUAUUAAGUGAUUUGGGUUGUUAACUUAUAUUUGAAAGUUGUCGUACUAUUCGUAUUUCCUUAUUUCCGUUAAUUGGUUUUGGACUUAGUAUGUAAUCGAUUAUUUAUGAACCUAAAAGUUAGUUUUAUGUUUUCCGCUGCAAAAUUCUGAAUAAGCCGUACGUUUUCACACGGGCGAUAAUGCCUUAAUAAUUCUCUAUAGUUAUAUUUAUAAAAGGGUUGUUUUAGAAAAAGGGAAUUGUCGGGGUGUUACAAAGUGGUAUCUAGAAGCUAAGGUUUUACUUAACAAUUUUUUAGGCGCCUAACUAUCUAGUUAUUUAAAAUAAACUUCUUAAAAAUCGAGCUUCUACGUAUUAUAGUGUUCAAAAAUUGGUACUUUUUUUUCGGGGGCCGAUUUCCUUUUAUCUUGUUUGAAAGUAUAUAAUAUUUCUUAUUUAAGUUCAGAAUUAACUUAUUUAUUCGAAACUUUUCGUUUAUGUGAAUUAAGUACGUUUUUCGUUAUUUUCGAAAUUAAAUUAAAUAUAUUCGGAA
This is a long non-coding RNA of Spinacia oleracea (spinach), 1082 nucleotides long. RefSeq lists it as uncharacterized. The record is from RefSeq and is a predicted model, not a curated record. NCBI's taxonomy places the organism in Eukaryota, Viridiplantae, Streptophyta, Magnoliopsida, Caryophyllales, Amaranthaceae. The transcript has 4 exons.